This 511-nucleotide ribosomal RNA is filed under the name Theileria annulata. RNAcentral describes it as "SSU rRNA". It matches the Rfam family "Eukaryotic small subunit ribosomal RNA", at positions 453 to 1004 of the family's 1831-position model. Lineage: Eukaryota; Apicomplexa; Aconoidasida; Piroplasmida; Theileriidae. The record is from RNAcentral.
GACACAGGGAGGUAGUGACAAGAAAUAACAAUACGGGGCUUAAAGUCUUGUAAUUGGAAUGAUGGGAAUUUAAACCUCUUCCAGAGUAUCAAUUGGAGGGCAAGUCUGGUGCCAGCAGCCGCGGUAAUUCCAGCUCCAAUAGCGUAUAUUAAAAUUGUUGCAGUUAAAAAGCUCGUAGUUGAAUUUCUGCUGCAUUGCUUGUGUCCCUCUGGGGUCUGUGCAUGUGGCUUUUUUCGGACGGAGUUUCUUUGUCUGAAUGUUUACUUUGAGAAAAUUAGAGUGCUCAAAGCAGGCUUUCGCCUUGAAUAGUUUAGCAUGGAAUAAUAAAGUAGGACUUUGGUUCUAUUUUGUUGGUUUUAGGUACCAAAGUAAUGGUUAAUAGGAACAGUUGGGGGCAUUCGUAUUUAACUGUCAGAGGUGAAAUUCUUAGAUUUGUUAAAGACGAACUACUGCGAAAGCAUUUGCCAAGGAUGUUUUCAUUAAUCAAGAACGAAAGUUAGGGGAUCGAAGA